AAGGAUCAUUACCGAGUGCGGGCCCUCUGGGUCCAACCUCCCAUCCGUGUCUAUCUGUACCCUGUUGCUUCGGCGUGGCCACGGCCCGCCGGAGACUAACAUUUGAACGCUGUCUGAAGUUUGCAGUCUGAGUUUUUAGUUAAACAAUCGUUAAAACUUUCAACAACGGAUCUCUUGGUUCCGGCAUCGAUGAAGAACGCAGCGAAAUGCGAUAAUUAAUGUGAAUUGCAGAAUUCAGUGAAUCAUCGAGUCUUUGAACGCACAUUGCGCCCCCUGGUAUUCCGGGGGGCAUGCCUGUCCGAGCGUCAUUGCUGCCCUCAAGCACGGCUUGUGUGUUGGGCUUCCGUCCCUGGCAACGGGGACGGGCCCAAAAGGCAGUGGCGGCACCAUGUCUGGUCCUCGAGCGUAUGGGGCUUUGUCACCCGCUCCCGUAGGUCCAGCUGGCAGCUAGCCUCGCAACCAAUCUUUUUAACCAGGUUGACCUCGGAUCAGGUAGGGAUACCCGCUGAACUUAAGCAUAUCAAUAAGCGGAGGAA
RNAcentral lists this unclassified non-coding RNA (536 nucleotides) under Aspergillus chevalieri. RNAcentral's name for it is "sequence contains ITS1, 5.8S rRNA gene, ITS2". The stretch from base 155 to 308 matches the Rfam family "5.8S ribosomal RNA". The record is from RNAcentral. Lineage: Eukaryota; Fungi; Ascomycota; Eurotiomycetes; Eurotiales; Aspergillaceae. RNAcentral also lists the same sequence under 1 other name.